UCAGCAGCCGCGGUAAUUCCAGCUCCAAUAGCGUAUAUUAAAGUUGUUGCAGUUAAAAAGCUCGUAGUUGGACUUUAGGCAAGACGGCCUGGUCGCCCACUGGGUGUACUGGGAUCGUUGCGCCUCACCUUCGGGGAGCCAGUCGUGCUUCGGUGCGCUGGGGAACCGAGCCUUACCUUGAGGAAAUUAGAGUGUUUAAAGCAGGCUUAUGCUUGAAUACGUUAGCAUGGAAUAACAUGAUAGGACUUUGGUUCUAUUUUGUUGGUUUGAGGACCAAAGUAAUGAUUAAUAGGGACAGUUGGGGGCAUUAGUAUUCAAUAGUCAGAGGUGAAAUUCUUGGAUUUAUUGAAGACUAACUAAUGCGAAAGCAUUUGCCAAGGAUGUUUUCAUUAAUAAAGAACGAAAGU
Molecule: ribosomal RNA, 407 nt
Filed under: uncultured eukaryote
Lineage: Eukaryota
Description: SSU rRNA
Rfam family: Eukaryotic small subunit ribosomal RNA
Source: RNAcentral